CAGAGGGUGCGAGCGUUAAUCGGAAUUACUGGGCGUAAAGCGCGCGUAGGCGGCUUUGCAAGUCGGGUGUGAAAUCCCCAGGCUUAACCUGGGAACUGCAUUCGAGACAGCAUUGCUAGAGUAUGGGAGAGGGAAGUGGAAUUUCCGGUGUAGCGGUGAAAUGCGUAGAUAUCGGAAGGAACAUCAGUGGCGAAAGCGACUUCCUGGACCAAUACUGACGCUCAUGUGCGAAAGCGUGGGGAGCAAACAGGAUUAGAUACCCUGGUAGUCCACGCCAUAAACGAUGAGAACUGGAUGUCGGGAGGGUCUGCCUCUCGGUGUCGUAGCUAACGCGUUAAGUUCUCCGCCUGGGGAGUACGGCCGCAAGGUUG
This 371-nucleotide ribosomal RNA is filed under the name uncultured organism. RNAcentral's name for it is "bacterial SSU rRNA". It matches the Rfam family "Bacterial small subunit ribosomal RNA", at positions 526 to 896 of the family's 1533-position model. The record is from RNAcentral.